This 1108-nucleotide long non-coding RNA is filed under the name Taeniopygia guttata (zebra finch). RNAcentral describes it as "lncRNA (ENSTGUG00000024569.1)". The record is from RNAcentral. Lineage: Eukaryota; Metazoa; Chordata; Aves; Passeriformes; Estrildidae.
AAAGCAUGACUUUGUGCUUUCUCACACUUGAUAUAGAGGAGCAGAGUCACCAGUUGUAUUGUACCUCUUUUGGGGCUCCAUUUGCUCCACCAUAUGAACACCAUACCAAGUAGAUACACCCGACUUAGUGUUUCAUUCAGCUUAAGUUUUAAUUCACCAAAGCCUCCACUGCAAAGAAACAUGAAUACAGAACUCUGUGGCAGAACUAUUUUUUAUUUCCAUGUUAUAUUAGUACAUCGUGGUUGCUGCUUCUCUAGUUUUGUGGGGCCUGGAGGUAACACCUGAAUGAGAAAAACCCAGAAGUUUGGUCAUUUCUUUCCUUUUCUUCUAUGUUAAGUUUGACAGCAUUUCUAGAGCACUUGGAAAAGUCACUGCCUUGCCAAGAAAGCGAGGACGUGCACUAGCACAGGUGGAGGAGUGUAGGGCAUCACAGAACGGGUCAGGCUGGAAGGGACCACAGCGGGUCCCCGGGUCCAGCCUCCCUGUUCAGGUCAGCCCGAGGCACAGGAUUGCAUCCAGACGCUUCUCGAAUCUCAGCAGUGAGGGACACUCCCCGAACUCCCAGGACAAUCAGUUCCAUUGUGUUCCACUGCACGGUAAAGAAGUUCUUCCUCGUGUUCAGGUGGAACUUCAGCGCAUCAGUUCCUGCCCGCUGCCCCUUGUCUCAGCGCUUGGCACUGCGGAGCUGAGCCUGGCUCCACCUCCAUCCAUCCCGCAGGGCGGUUCGCACGGCCCAUCGCGGCAGCCCCGACACGGGUCUAACGCCGUCCCGAGGUUAUUUUUUCCGGAAUUUCUGUGGAACCGAGCGCCGCCGCAGCGGCCCGGCCCGACGCGGCCCGGGGAGCCGCGGGCACGGCCGGUGCCGCACCGCCCCCUAGCGCCGGCGGCCGCGCCCGCCCCUCAGCCCCGCCGCCGCCCUCGGCCCGCCCCGCUCCUCGGCCCCGCCACCGCUCCUCGGCCCCGCCACCGCCCCUCGGCCCGCCCCGCCCCUCGGCCCGCCCCGCCACCGCCCGCCCCGCGCCUCAGCCCCGCCACCGCCCUCGGCCCGCCCCGCUCCUCGGCCCCGCCGCCGCCCUCGGCCCCGCCACCGCCCUCGGCCCGCCCCGCU